RNAcentral lists this transfer RNA (65 nucleotides) under Perna perna. Its description in RNAcentral is "tRNA-Tyr". Lineage: Eukaryota; Metazoa; Mollusca; Bivalvia; Mytilida; Mytilidae. The record is from RNAcentral.
GCGGAGUGGCCGAGUUUUAGGCGGUGGGCUGUAAACCUUCUAACAAGUUUAAUACUUCUCCGUAA